ACGCUCGACACCUACGGGAGGAAGCAGUCGGGAAUAUUGCGCAAUGGAGGGAAACUCUGACGCAGUGACGCCGCGUGCAGGAAGAAGGUUUUCGGAUUGUAAACUGCUUUAGACAGGGAAGAAGAAGUGACAGUACCUGUAGAAUAAGCUCCGGCUAACUACGUGCAGCAGCCGCGGUAAUCUGAGCGGGCUGGCAAGGC
This 200-nucleotide ribosomal RNA is filed under the name uncultured bacterium. Its description in RNAcentral is "partial 16S ribosomal RNA". It matches the Rfam family "Bacterial small subunit ribosomal RNA", at positions 328 to 539 of the family's 1533-position model. The record is from RNAcentral.